UCAAGUUAAAUAGUAUUUGUUUAUAUAAUACCAAAAUAUGGUUGGUUAGUUUCUACCUAGGACCGUUAAUCCUAGACUAUAAGCAUAAAGUAUUCUAGA
This 99-nucleotide non-coding RNA is filed under the name Apilactobacillus ozensis. Its description in RNAcentral is "Lactobacillus ozensis Guanine sequence". It matches the Rfam family "Purine riboswitch aptamer". From Rfam's summary of the family: Riboswitches are metabolite binding domains within certain messenger RNAs that serve as precision sensors for their corresponding targets. Allosteric rearrangement of mRNA structure is mediated by ligand binding, and this results in modulation of gene expression. A class of riboswitches that selectively recognises guanine and becomes saturated at concentrations as low as 5 nM. Lineage: Bacteria; Bacillati; Bacillota; Bacilli; Lactobacillales; Lactobacillaceae. RNAcentral also lists the same sequence under 1 other name. The record is from RNAcentral.